CGGACGGGUGAGUAACGCGUGGGAACGUGCCCUUCUCUACGGAAUAGUCUCGGGAAACUGGGGGUAAUACCGUAUACGCCCUUUGGGGGAAAGAUUUAUCGGAGAAGGAUCGGCCCGCGUUGGAUUAGGUAGUUGGUGGGGUAACGGCCUACCAAGCCGACGAUCCAUAGCUGGUUUGAGAGGAUGAUCAGCCACACUGGGACUGAGACACGGCCCAGACUCCUACGGGAGGCAGCAGUGGGGAAUCUUAGACAAUGGGCGCAAGCCUGAUCUAGCCAUGCCGCGUGAGCGAUGAAGGCCUUAGGGUUGUAAAGCUCUUUCGUGGGGGAAGAUAAUGACUGUACCCCAAGAAGAAGCCCCGGCUAACUCCGUGCCAGCAGCCGCGGUAAUACGGAGGGGGCUAGCGUUGUUCGGAAUUACUGGGCGUAAAGCGCACGUAGGCGGACCAGAAAGUUGGGGGUGAAAUCCCGGGGCUCAACCUCGGAACUGCCUUCAAAACUCCUGGUCUUGAGUUCGAGAGAGGUGAGUGGAAUUCCGAGUGUAGAGGUGAAAUUCGUAGAUAUUCGGAGGAACACCAGUGGCGAAGGCGGCUCACUGGCUCGAUACUGACGCUG
RNAcentral lists this ribosomal RNA (614 nucleotides) under uncultured bacterium. RNAcentral describes it as "bacterial SSU rRNA". It matches the Rfam family "Bacterial small subunit ribosomal RNA", at positions 99 to 748 of the family's 1533-position model. The record is from RNAcentral.